CUGCUACUGCCAUUAUUGUUUUGGGGUCAGCUCAGCUUGAAGGACAAUGUAGAUGGAAGACCCAUGAGCAAUAUACUGAAUCAAUUAAAGAGACAGGGCAUGACAUUGUUCAGGCAGCUGUUAAUAAUAAUAAUAAAAUUAGUUGCUAUUAUUAAGCCUGUCUUAAACUGCAGAUCCAGUCUAUCAUUGUUGGAUAUUUGGGUUGGCUCCAAGUCUUUGCUAUUGUGAAUAAUGCCGCAAUAAACAUACAUGUGCAUGUGUCUUUAUAGCAGCAUGAUUUAUAAUCAUUUGGGUAUAUACCCAGUAAUAGGAUGGCUGGGUCAUAUGGAAUUUCUAGUUCUAGAUCCCUGAGGAAUCGCCACACUGACUUCCACAAGGGUUGAACUAGUUUACAGUCCCACCAACAGUGUAAAAGUGUUCCUAUUUCUCCACAUCUUCUUCAGCACCUGUUGUUUCCUGACUUUUUAAUGAUCGCCAUUCUAACUGGUGUGAGAUGGUAUCUCAUUGUGGUUUUGAUUUGCAUUUCUUUGAUGGCCAGUCAUGAUGAGCAUUUUUUCAUGCAGUUUUUGGCUGCAUAAAUGUCUUCUUUUGAGAAGUGUCUGUUCAUAUCCUUUGCCCACUUUUUGAUGGGGUUGUUUGUUUUUUUCUUGUAAAUUUGUUUGAGUUCAUUG
Molecule: long non-coding RNA, 671 nt
Filed under: Homo sapiens (human)
Lineage: Eukaryota; Metazoa; Chordata; Mammalia; Primates; Hominidae
Description: non-protein coding lnc-SLC14A1-2:1
Source: RNAcentral